UCGGAUUUUUGCCACAUUUUCUGGCAUAACUGCUGUUUUUGGGCGACCACUGCGUUCAGCGUCUUUGGUGUCCACACGACCACGUUUAAAUUCAUUGUACCAAUCUUUGAUGGUUGAUUUUCCCGGAGAAGAAUCUGGGUAAUGUUUAUCAAGCCAAGCUUUUGCUUCUACUGUAUUUUUUCCUAUAAAAAAACAGUGCUUAAUCAGGACACGAAACUCCUUUUUUUCCAUAUUGUAGAAAAACCCAAAGGUUGUAUUACUUAAAAAUUUGUAACUUAAAAGCACGUGGUCACAGAGUUGUAUAAUUUUUACACAGAGCUUAUGAUAAUCGACACUUUCGAUAAAAAAUAUCUAUAUUUGCUUACUACU
This is a non-coding RNA of Drosophila suzukii, 369 nucleotides long. The record is from RefSeq and is a predicted model, not a curated record. Lineage: Eukaryota; Metazoa; Arthropoda; Insecta; Diptera; Drosophilidae.